GGAAGUAAAAAAUCGUAACAAGGUUUCCGUAGGUGAACCUGCGGAAGGAUCAUUACCUAGAGUUGUAGGCUUUGCCUGCCAUCUCUUACCCAUGUCUUUUGAGUACCUUCGUUUCCUCGGCGGGUUCGCCCGCCGAUUGGACAAUUUAAACCAUUUGCAGUUGCAAUCAGCGUCUGAAAAAACUUAAUAGUUACAACUUUCAACAACGGAUCUCUUGGUUCUGGCAUCGAUGAAGAACGCAGCGAAAUGCGAUAAGUAGUGUGAAUUGCAGAAUUCAGUGAAUCAUCGAAUCUUUGAACGCACAUUGCGCCCCUUGGUAUUCCAUGGGGCAUGCCUGUUCGAGCGUCAUUUGUACCUUCAAGCUCUGCUUGGUGUUGGGUGUUUGUCUCGCCUCUGCGCGUAGACUCGCCUCAAAACAAUUGGCAGCCGGCGUAUUGAUUUCGGAGCGCAGUACAUCUCGCGCUUUGCACUCAUAACGACGACGUCCAAAAGUACAUUUUUACACUCUUGACCUCGGAUCAGGUAGGGAUACCCGCUGAACUUAAGCAUAUCAAA
Molecule: ribosomal RNA, 555 nt
Filed under: Phoma sp. Z3
Lineage: Eukaryota; Fungi; Ascomycota; Dothideomycetes; Pleosporales; Didymellaceae
Description: eukaryotic LSU rRNA
Rfam family: 5.8S ribosomal RNA (bases 195-348)
Source: RNAcentral